This 1111-nucleotide ribosomal RNA is filed under the name Bacillus safensis. RNAcentral describes it as "bacterial SSU rRNA". It matches the Rfam family "Bacterial small subunit ribosomal RNA", at positions 146 to 1244 of the family's 1533-position model. The record is from RNAcentral. Lineage: Bacteria; Bacillati; Bacillota; Bacilli; Caryophanales; Bacillaceae.
ACUCCGGGAAACCGGAGCUAAUACCGGAUAGUUCCUUGAACCGCAUGGUUCAAGGAUGAAAGACGGUUUCGGCUGUCACUUGCAGAUGGACCCGCGGCGCAUUAGCUAGUUGGUGGGGUAAUGGCUCACCAAGGCGACGAUGCGUAGCCGACCUGAGAGGGUGAUCGGCCACACUGGGACUGAGACACGGCCCAGACUCCUACGGGAGGCAGCAGUAGGGAAUCUUCCGCAAUGGACGAAAGUCUGACGGAGCAACGCCGCGUGAGUGAUGAAGGUUUUCGGAUCGUAAAGCUCUGUUGUUAGGGAAGAACAAGUGCGAGAGUAACUGCUCGCACCUUGACGGUACCUAACCAGAAAGCCACGGCUAACUACGUGCCAGCAGCCGCGGUAAUACGUAGGUGGCAAGCGUUGUCCGGAAUUAUUGGGCGUAAAGGGCUCGCAGGCGGUUUCUUAAGUCUGAUGUGAAAGCCCCCGGCUCAACCGGGGAGGGUCAUUGGAAACUGGGAAACUUGAGUGCAGAAGAGGAGAGUGGAAUUCCACGUGUAGCGGUGAAAUGCGUAGAGAUGUGGAGGAACACCAGUGGCGAAGGCGACUCUCUGGUCUGUAACUGACGCUGAGGAGCGAAAGCGUGGGGAGCGAACAGGAUUAGAUACCCUGGUAGUCCACGCCGUAAACGAUGAGUGCUAAGUGUUAGGGGGUUUCCGCCCCUUAGUGCUGCAGCUAACGCAUUAAGCACUCCGCCUGGGGAGUACGGUCGCAAGACUGAAACUCAAAGGAAUUGACGGGGGCCCGCACAAGCGGUGGAGCAUGUGGUUUAAUUCGAAGCAACGCGAAGAACCUUACCAGGUCUUGACAUCCUCUGACAACCCUAGAGAUAGGGCUUUCCCUUCGGGGACAGAGUGACAGGUGGUGCAUGGUUGUCGUCAGCUCGUGUCGUGAGAUGUUGGGUUAAGUCCCGCAACGAGCGCAACCCUUGAUCUUAGUUGCCAGCAUUCAGUUGGGCACUCUAAGGUGACUGCCGGUGACAAACCGGAGGAAGGUGGGGAUGACGUCAAAUCAUCAUGCCCCUUAUGACCUGGGCUACACACGUGCUACAAUGGACAGAACAAAG